This is a non-coding RNA of Cricetulus griseus (Chinese hamster), 73 nucleotides long. The record is from Rfam. Lineage: Eukaryota; Metazoa; Chordata; Mammalia; Rodentia; Cricetidae.
GCCCAGCUAGCUCAGUCGGUAGAACAUGAGACUCUUAAUCUCAGGGUUAUGGGUUCAUGCACCACGUUGGGCG